This 467-nucleotide ribosomal RNA is filed under the name uncultured bacterium. RNAcentral's name for it is "partial 16S ribosomal RNA". It matches the Rfam family "Bacterial small subunit ribosomal RNA", at positions 28 to 507 of the family's 1533-position model. The record is from RNAcentral.
GACGAACGCUGGCGGCGUGCUUAACACAUGCAAGUCGAACGGAAAGGCCCUGCUUUUGUGGGGUGCUCGAGUGGCGAACGGGUGAGUAACACGUGAGUAACCUGCCCUUGACUUUGGGAUAACUUCAGGAAACUGGGGCUAAUACCGGAUAGGAGCUCCUGCUGCAUGGUGGGGGUUGGAAAGUUUCGGCGGUUGGGGAUGGACUCGCGGCUUAUCAGCUUGUUGGUGGGGUAGUGGCUUACCAAGGCUUUGACGGGUAGCCGGCCUGAGAGGGUGACGGGCCACAUUGGGACUGAGAUACGGCCCAGACUCCUACGGGGGGCAGCAGUGGGGAAUAUUGCACAAUGGGCGGAAGCCUGAUGCAGCAACGCCGCGUGCGGGAUGACGGCCUUCGGGUUGUAACCCGCUUUCGCCUGUGACGAAGCGUGAGUGACGGUAAUGGGUAAAGAAGCACCGGCUACUACGUG